Molecule: ribosomal RNA, 1218 nt
Filed under: uncultured Rhizaria
Lineage: Eukaryota
Description: SSU rRNA
Rfam family: Eukaryotic small subunit ribosomal RNA
Source: RNAcentral
CGGUAAUUCCAGCUCCAAUAGCGUAUACUAAAGUUGUUGCAGUUAAAAAGCUCGUAGUUGGAUUUCUGUGGGGACGGAGCGGCCGGCCGCACAUCGCGGUUCGAGCUAGCGCUUUCCCUAUAUCCUGCCGCGAACCGUGCUACCAUUAGUUUGGUGGCGCUGGGGAUCGGCUCGAUUACUUUGAGAAAAAUAGAGUGUUCAAAGCAGGCCACACGCCUUGAAUAAGUUAGCAUGGAAUAAUAACUAAGGACUUCGGUUCUAUUUUGUUGGUGUUCGGGACUGAAGUAAUGAUUGAUAGGGACAGUUGGGGCGGUCUGUAUUCCAAAGCGAGAGGUGAAAUUCUUAGACCUUCGGAAGACAAACAGCUGCGAAAGCGUUCCGCAAGGAUGUUCCCUUUGAUCAAGAACGAAAGUUGGGGGAUCGAAGACGAUCAGAUACCGUCGUAGUCUCAACUAUAAACUAUACCAGCUAGGGAUCGGCCAACGUUAUUUUAUACCGACUUGGUCGGCACCUUAUGAGAAAUCAAAGCAUCUGGGUUCCGGGGGGAGUAUGGUCGCAAGGCUGAAACUUAAAGGAAUUGACGGAAGGGCACCACCAGCCGUGGAGCCUGUGGCUUAAUUUGACUCAACACGGGAAAACUUACCAGGUCCAGACAUAGUAAGGAUUGACAGAUUGAUAGCUCUUUCUUGAUUCUGUGGGUGGUGGUGCAUGGCCGUUCUUAGUUGGUGGAGUGGUUUGUCUGGUUAAUUCCGUUAACGAACGAGACCCCAGCCUGCUAAAUAGCGCGCGUGAGCUUUGCUCGCGGCGAGCUUCUUAGAGGGACUAUGAUGCGCAAUAGCACAUGGAAGUUUGGGGCAAUAACAGGUCUGUGAUGCCCUUAGAUGUUCUGGGCCGCACACGGGCUACACUGGCGCCUGCAACGAGCAUAUCAGCUGGCCCGAGAGGGUCUUGGCUAAUCUUUUGAACCGGCGCCGUGCUUGGGAUUGACCUUUGCAAUUGUUGGUCAUGCAACGAGGAAUGCCUUGUAAACGCGAGUCAUCAGCUCGCAUUGAAUACGUCCCUGCCCUUUGUACACACCGCCCGUCGCUCCUACCGAUGAAUGUUCCGAUGAAAUUUUCGGGGAGUGCCUGUGAACUUGGCUCUGCCUUGCGAACGGGAAGCUCAAAGUCACUUAAAUCUGAACAUUUCGAGGAAGGAGAAGUCGUAACAAGGUAGCCG